This 328-nucleotide unclassified non-coding RNA is filed under the name soil metagenome. Its description in RNAcentral is "partial contains 5.8S ribosomal RNA, internal transcribed spacer 2, and large subunit ribosomal RNA". The stretch from base 1 to 120 matches the Rfam family "5.8S ribosomal RNA", at positions 35 to 154 of the family's 154-position model. The record is from RNAcentral.
GAUGAAGAACGUAGCGAAAUGCGAUAAGUAGUGUGAAUUGCAGAAUUCAGUGAAUCAUCGAAUCUUUGAACGCACAUUGCGCCCCUUGGUAUCCCGAGGGGCAUGCCUGUUCGAGCGUCAUUUCACCACUCAAGCCUGGCUUGGUGUUGGGCGACGUCCCCUUUGGGGACGCGCCUCGAAACGCUCGGCGGCGUGGCACCGACUUUAAGCGUAGCAGAAUCUUUCGCUUUGGAAGUCGGGGCCCCGUCUGCCGGAAGACCUACUCGCAAGGUUGACCUCGGAUCAGGCAGGGAUACCCGCUGAACUUAAGCAUAUCAUAAGCGGAGGA